RNAcentral lists this ribosomal RNA (424 nucleotides) under uncultured bacterium. Its description in RNAcentral is "bacterial SSU rRNA". It matches the Rfam family "Bacterial small subunit ribosomal RNA", at positions 917 to 1341 of the family's 1533-position model. The record is from RNAcentral.
GGGCCCGCACAAGCGGUGGAGCAUGUGGUUUAAUUCGAUGCAACGCGAAAAACCUUACCAGGCCUUGACAUCCUGAGAAUUCGGUAGAGAUACCUUAGUGCCUUCGGGAACUCAGUGACAGGUGUUGCAUGGCUGUCGUCAGCUCGUGUCGUGAGAUGUUGGGUUAAGUCCCGUAACGAGCGCAACCCUUAUCCUUAUUUGCCAGCACUUCGGGUGGGAACUUUAAGGAGACUGCCGGUGACAAACCGGAGGAAGGAGAGGAUGAUGUCAAGUCAUCAUGGCCCUUACGGCCUGGGCUACACACGUGCUACAAUGGGCAGUACAGAGGGCCGCGAUACCGCGAGGUGGAGCAAAUCCCAAAAAACUGUUCGUAGUCCGGAUCGGAGUCUGCAACUCGACUCCGUGAAGUCGGAAUCGCUAGUAA